Molecule: ribosomal RNA, 305 nt
Filed under: uncultured bacterium
Lineage: Bacteria
Description: bacterial SSU rRNA
Rfam family: Bacterial small subunit ribosomal RNA
Source: RNAcentral
UUACCUACGGGGGGCAGCAGUGGGGAAUAUUGCACAAUGGGGGGAACCCUGAUGCAGCGACGCCGCGUGGGCGAUGGAGUAUUUCGGUAUGUAAAGCCCUAUCGGCAGGGAAGAAAAUGACAGUACCUGACUAAGAAGCCCCGGCUAACUACGUGCCAGCAGCCGCGGUAAUACGUAGGGGGCAAGCGUUAUCCGGAUUUACUGGGUGUAAAGGGAGCGUAGACGGCAGCACAAGUCUGGAGUGAAAUCCCGGGGCUUAACCCCGGAACUGCUUUGGAAACUGUGCGGCUGGAGUGCAGGAGGGG